GACGAACGCUGGCGGCGUGCUUAACACAUGCAAGUCGAACGGAAAGGCCCUGCUUUUGUGGGGUGCUCGAGUGGCGAACGGGUGAGUAACACGUGAGUAACCUGCCCUUGACUUUGGGAUAACUUCAGGAAACUGGGGCUAAUACCGGAUAGGAGCUCCUGCUGCAUGGUGGGGGUUGGAAAGUUUCGGCGGUUGGGGAUGGACUCGCGGCUUAUCAGCUUGUUGGUGGGGUAGUGGCUUACCAAGGCUUUGACGGGUAGCCGGCCUGAGAGGGUGACCGGGCACAUGGGGGCUGAGAUAGGGCCCAGACUCCUACGGGAGGAAGGGGGGGGAAAUAUUGCCCAAUGGGGGGAAGCUGGAGGAGAAACCCCCGGGGGGGGGAAGGCGGCCUUCGGGUUGUAAACAGCUUUCGCCGGGACCGAGGCGGGGGUGACGGUAAUGGGGAAAAAAGCACCGGCUAACUACGU
This 467-nucleotide ribosomal RNA is filed under the name uncultured bacterium. RNAcentral describes it as "partial 16S ribosomal RNA". It matches the Rfam family "Bacterial small subunit ribosomal RNA", at positions 28 to 506 of the family's 1533-position model. The record is from RNAcentral.